RNAcentral lists this unclassified non-coding RNA (299 nucleotides) under plant metagenome. RNAcentral describes it as "partial contains 5.8S ribosomal RNA, internal transcribed spacer 2, and large subunit ribosomal RNA". The stretch from base 1 to 105 matches the Rfam family "5.8S ribosomal RNA", at positions 50 to 154 of the family's 154-position model. The record is from RNAcentral.
GAAAUGCGAUAAGUAAUGUGAAUUGCAGAAUUCAGUGAAUCAUCGAAUCUUUGAACGCACAUUGCGCCCCCUGGUAUUCCGGGGGGCAUGCCUGUUCGAGCGUCAUUUCACCACUCAAGCCUCGCUUGGUAUUGGGCGUCGCGGUCCGCCGCGCGCCUCAAAUCGACCGGCUGGGUCUUCCGUCCCCUCAGCGUUGUGGAAACUAUUCGCUAAAGGGUGCCGCGGGAGGUCACGCCGCAAAACAACCCCAUUUCUAAGGUUGACCUCGGAUCAGGUAGGGAUACCCGCUGAACUUAAGC